This is a long non-coding RNA of Asparagus officinalis (garden asparagus), 549 nucleotides long. RefSeq lists it as uncharacterized. The transcript has 3 exons. The record is from RefSeq and is a predicted model, not a curated record. Lineage: Eukaryota; Viridiplantae; Streptophyta; Magnoliopsida; Asparagales; Asparagaceae.
GGUUAAUGCUCAUUACCAAACAAAGGAAAAAAACAUUCACCAAAUUCCAUGGCCAGCCUUAGCCAGCAUCUCAAGGACAACUUCUUCUAUCUCCUUGAACUAGUCAGAGGUACUGUCAGCAACAAGAAGAACUGUGAAGCAAAAGAAUGCGAAGAGGAAACCCAGGCGGUAUCUGUUACCGUGAAGGAAAGGGGAAUCCUUAAAUUAAACAGAGGCCUUGCACCUCCUGGAGUUCAAAAAGGUCCGCCACCUGAGCACAACUAAAGUAUUACGCACGCACCUACAGUUUGCUUGCAUCUUCUAAAUGCUAUUGUAUUAUAUCGUGGUUUGAUCUACGUACGUGCUAGUAUUGUGUGACUAGUGUCUUCAUGAUUAAGGAUGAGGAAUAGAGAUUGAAGAGGCAAGAGGUACUUUUAAAAUGUAUAUGAGAUGGUGAGGUAGUAGUCCUGUCAUCAUUUGUUCUAAGGAAAAGAGCUUGUUGUAUUAUAUGUGGAGGUUUGAAUGUAUUACUACUAUGAUGAAAUAAUUAAAUUACUAAAUUGAACUCAC